Molecule: unclassified non-coding RNA, 952 nt
Filed under: Drosophila mojavensis
Lineage: Eukaryota; Metazoa; Arthropoda; Insecta; Diptera; Drosophilidae
Description: GI25751
Source: RNAcentral
AGAUUACUGGUGUGUUUUAUUUACAGAUUUAGCGUGCCAGUGAAGGCGUUUUGUUUGUUUGGGUGGCCAAUAUGAGGGCAUGAAAUGGCGUUUAAAUUAGGAGUGAUUGCAAUCAAACUGCUAACACAGCUUUAAUGCAGGAAAGCGUUUUGGUUAUAGCGUCUUUGUUCGCCGUAGUCAAGUCGAUGCAAUCAGUCCGAAUCACCAGUGAGAUCAAUAGAGGCGAUUUGCGAGAAAACUGGAAGCCUAGGCGAAUGGCCGCUAUCCAUAGAGUCAUCCUGGACAGCUCAAUCAUUUGCAAGGUUUGUCUGUCUAUGUGGAAAGCUUUCCUGGAUGUGUGACGGUUGAAGGGCACUGGAAUAGGAUUCGCUCGGGAAGCCGCCUCACAGAUGUUUCUUUCAAGAAUAUCCACUGCAUGGUCAAGAUCUGCUGCACAUCUAAUUUCAGUGUUGAUUUUAGAAGAUGGCUAUUUAUUGUGUUGACAGCUGGAGCUUCACGAUAAUAAAUAAUUAGUGGAAGAUGAUCGGAACUAAGGUGAUGAGAAUCUUCAAUCUGAAGUAGUUCGCGACGAAUGCCUUUAUAUAUGGCGAAGUCAAUGGCGGAAGGCGAAUGGCGGGGAUUGUAUGGGAAGAGCGUGAGUUUCCCCACCACUGGCUUCGAGCGUUCCAGUCGCCUCCUAUGAUGUAGGCAUCCCCCAAGGAUAAGAACAGUUCAUGGAAAUCACUAUCAGACCAUCUUUGUUGUGGUGGGCAGUAGACGGAGGCAAUGUUAAUGGUUUUACUGGGAAGGAGAUUUAGCGAAACAACAGCACAUUGACAUCGCGCUGUAGGUGGAAUAUGGAGGGCAUAGUGCCUUAUGCUAUUUUUAAUGACAACUGCAACACCACCUCUUCGCCUAUUAGAAGGAUGGUUUGCUGUGUAAGCAGAGUACCCUUGAAUUUUAAUUGAGUCAG